ACUCCUACGGGAGGCAGCAGUGGGGAAUCUUGCACAAUGGGGGAAACCCUGAUGCAGCGACGCCGCGUGAGCGAUGAAGCCCCUCGGGGUGUAAAGCCCUUUCGGCAGGGAAGAUUAUGACGGUACCUGCAAAAGCAGCUGCGGCUAACUACGUGCCAGCAGCCGCGGUAAUACGUAGGCAGCAAGCGUUGUUCGGAGUUACUGGGCGUAAAGGGUGCGUAGGCGGCUUUUUAAGUUUGGUGUGAAAUCUCCCGGCUCAACUGGGAGGGUGCGCCGAAUACUGAGAGGCUAGAGUGUGGGAGAGGAAAGUGGAAUUCCUGGUGUAGCGGUGAAAUGCGUAGAUAUCAGGAGGAACACCGGUGGUGUAAACGGCUUUCUGGACCAUAACUGACGCUGAGGCACGAAAGCGUGGGUAGCAAACAGGAUUAGAUACCCUGGUAGUCCACGCCCUAAACGAUGCAUAU
RNAcentral lists this ribosomal RNA (464 nucleotides) under uncultured bacterium. Its description in RNAcentral is "bacterial SSU rRNA". It matches the Rfam family "Bacterial small subunit ribosomal RNA", at positions 335 to 816 of the family's 1533-position model. The record is from RNAcentral.